ACCUGGGUGUCCCUGACACCAUCAACCAAUAAACCUGGGUGUCCCUGACACCAUAAAACCAAUAAAUUUAUACUCUACUGAGCGUACUUCAGUACCUGUUCGAGUCGGCCGACGUCUCGGCCUGUUUUGGGGGCCUAUCACCUGAUAAUAAGCUCUUUAGUGCUCCUCACCUCCACUAAACACUAUCACUAUAGUAUAGAAAAAGAUCUCUAGUGCUUAGGUUUGCUGCAGCCUAAAAACCAAACAGACUCCAGUCUAUGCCUCAGAAUAUGCUUUAAUCACGGCCGGGAGAGUUCUCAUCAUUCCAGAGAAUCUCUCUCCGAACAAAGGAAUACAACAGGUUUUAUAGGAUUUCAGGUACACUUCACAGUCAGCAUGGCAUGAUCUAUUACUCAUUAUCAUCAGUCUCAAUAUGAUUAGUUUAGAUUUAAGAAAAACAUCUCAGUUCCUCUGUCCCGCUUACUGCCGGAGUAAAUUUAGAUUAGAACAACUGAAUCACAAGAUCAUCAAAAAAUGUCUCAGGGUUAAUAGUUCAGAUUACUCAAUAGGUUAAAACAACCUCUCAAAGACUAUUUUUUAUCCCCAGAAGGAUGCUGUCUAGCCAGCACAGCAGAAUGUUUCUGAAUCACAACACUCCUAGUGACUGUUUCUCUAUUUCUAAGUUAGAUUAUUAUUAUUAGGCCUGUAGAAGAAAAGAAAUGUUAGUUCAUUAAUUAGUUCAAAAAUUCCAUCACACUAGCAAGUGCACGUCAUUGCGUGAUUACAUCAGUGAAAAGGUCCGCUUUCGGCGCUGAAAAAUGGAAGUGCAAACGUUACUGGUUUGAUUGCUGUACAGCAUUUUUUCCGAUAUGGAAAUGGAGAUGGUGAGGCAGCAUUGGCGUCAGGCUCGCAGGAGGAGAAUUUCAAUUUGUCGCCACCUCUGCCGUUAAAGACGUGGGAUGGUAAGUAACGUUACCGCUCUUAUCAUUCAUUUAAAAAUAAUUACAUCCAUUAUGUUAUGGGUCAAAUUGACCCGCACUGUUUAAACACACUUGAAUCAAUAUGAUUAAAAUGAGUUUAUUGAUUUAAAAACGAUUAUAUUGCCUGAAUGAACAGAACUGCGGCCAUAGCAACACUCUGUUUUUAAUGGCAAUGGUGUGUUAUACUUGCAGUGGUCUGUUAUCUAGAAAUAACAGACCGGAAUUCAACCAAGCCAUGUAAUAAUAUUUAAUAUUUAAAAAUAUAUAUAAUUUAAGAACUAUUUGUUAAAGACAUGUCCUAUCUCACAAACAAGAUUUUUUUCUAUUUCCCCAACUAGGCUUUUUUUUUACCCUAUUGAGCAAAAUGAUCCCUUCAGUCUUUCUCUCCACAUUUUGAACAUAAUUUAUGUGUGUGCUAUCGCAUAUGUAUUUAUAUGCAUUUAUAUUUAUUAACUGAAAUUAUACUUAAACCUUCCUCUCUCCUACAUCUUGUACAGGCUCGGCAAUACCGUGCCAUCAAUGCCACAGUGCCAGUACUGCAGCGGUACUAUGGAGGGGAGGACACUCGGCCAGACUUCAGGCCAUGCAGCAGCUGAUGGUGGCCCUGAAGACUGACAGGCAGCAUGGAUGGGGCCAGACCCUGGAGACACUCGUGUUCCUGUUCUGGCUGGAAACCGGUUCAGCCUACAGAGUUGUCUCCAGGGUCUUUAGCAUGCCUCUUCCCACAGUGCACAGAGUUGUCCACAAGAUGGUGGAUGAGGUGGUGGCUGUGCUCCCCCAAUUUGUGCACUUCCCUCGCACACAGGAGGAGCUCCAAGUGGUUGGGGAUGGUUUUGCUCGCUUGGCUAAUCACCAAGCAUUUGGCAAGGCAGCAGGGGCAGUAGACGGCCGCCACAUAAGAAUAAAAUGUCCCGGCGGCCCUGAUGGUCACAAUUACAACAGAAAGCUCUUCCCUUCAGUGGUGCUCCAGGCAGUCUGUGACCAUCAGGGUCGCUUUAUUGACAUCUUUGUGGGUUACCCAGGAAUUGUGCAUGAUGCACGCAUCCUCAAGAACAGCCCCAUCUACACUAGGGGGACUUACCCUCCGCCUGGGUAUUUUCUCCUAGCUGACGGUGGCUACCCAUGUCUACAGGAACCCCUGGCCCUUAUCACACCAUAUAAGAGGCCAGUGAGAGGCAUGGCAGAGCAAAGGUUCAACUACCAUCAUUCCAAAGGUCACAAUCAUUGAGCGUGCAUUUGGAAUGAUGAAAACCCGCUUCAGGUGCAUCUUUUUAGAAGCACUUGGAGUACAUACACUGUUUGUCCCUAAGGUGGUGACGGCGUGUGUAAUUUUGCACAACAUUUGUGUUGGUGUCGGGGAUGUGCUGGAAGAGGUUGUGGAGGAGGACAA
RNA transcript from Megalobrama amblycephala (Wuchang bream), 2349 nucleotides. RefSeq lists it as uncharacterized. The record is from RefSeq and is a predicted model, not a curated record. The transcript has 2 exons. NCBI's taxonomy places the organism in Eukaryota, Metazoa, Chordata, Actinopteri, Cypriniformes, Xenocyprididae.